UCCACCGAUUGACUAAGGUUUCCAGAGGAAGGCUCGUCCGCUCUGGGUUAGUCGGGUCCUAAGCUGAGGCCGACAGGCGUAGGCGAUGGAUAACAGGUUGAUAUUCCUGUACCACCUAUAAUCGUUUUAAUCGAUGGGGGGACGCAGUAGGAUAGGCGAAGCGUGCGAUUGGAUUGCACGUCUAAGCAGUAAGGCUGAGUAUUAGGCAAAUCCGGUACUCGUUAAGGCUGAGCUGUGAUGGGGAGAAGACAUUGUGUCUUCGAGUCGUUGAUUUCACACUGCCGAGAAAAGCCUCUAGAUAGAAAAUAGGUGCCCGUACCGCAAACCGACACAGGUAGUCAAGAUGAGAAUUCUAAGGUGAGCGAGCGAACUCUCGUUAAGGAACUCGGCAAAAUGACCCCGUAACUUCGGGAGAAGGGGUGCUCUUUAGGGUUAACGCCCAGAAGAGCCGCAGUGAAUAGGCCCAAGCGACUGUUUAUCAAAAACACAGG
This 491-nucleotide ribosomal RNA is filed under the name Staphylococcus aureus. Its description in RNAcentral is "partial 23S ribosomal RNA". It matches the Rfam family "Bacterial large subunit ribosomal RNA", at positions 1333 to 1819 of the family's 2925-position model. The record is from RNAcentral. Lineage: Bacteria; Bacillati; Bacillota; Bacilli; Caryophanales; Staphylococcaceae.